GGGCCCGUAGCUCAGGCGGACAGAGCAGCGGUUUCCUAAACCGCGGGUCGGGGGUUCGAGUCCCUUCGGGCCCACCA
RNAcentral lists this transfer RNA (77 nucleotides) under Limnochordaceae bacterium. RNAcentral's name for it is "tRNA-Arg". It matches the Rfam family "tRNA". From Rfam's summary of the family: Transfer RNA (tRNA) molecules are approximately 80 nucleotides in length. Their secondary structure includes four short double-helical elements and three loops (D, anti-codon, and T loops). Lineage: Bacteria; Bacillati; Bacillota; Limnochordia; Limnochordales; Limnochordaceae. RNAcentral also lists the same sequence under 1 other name. The record is from RNAcentral.